AUUGUUCGAUUCUUUCAAUGCUGAAAACAUCCUGGCCGCUGGCAGGAGUAAAACCAAAAGCAGCCAUAAGGAGUGACUGUAGCUUCAGUCCUGGCUUUCAAUGAAAGUCCAUGAAAACGAAGCAGAAAAAUGGAAUUCAGGCAUCAUCAAUAAUAUAAAUAACACCUUUGAUUUUCCUACUGUGACAUGUCAAACUCUCCUAUUUGUAACAUUUCACUGAUGCAAGCCAGAACACCAGAACCCCUCAGGGAUUUCAAACAAUUAUGAGACUUCAUAUUGGGAGGAAAUCAACAAUCUUGCAGAGUGGUGCACAGAGAACAACCUACUGCUCAAUGUCAGCAAAACCAAAGAGCUGAUUGUGGCUUCAUGAAAGAGGAGAUUGCCUUGCAAGUGGCUGCAGCCCAUCAAGGCCGGAAAAACACAACAAGAACAGUUUCUUCCCGACUGCAGCUGGCCUCAUCAACAUGGCCCAGGACCCCUACUGACACUUACUGUUUAGCUGCCCCACGGGCAUUACAUGUUACAUUAGCAUAAAGUUUCCAUAUCUGACUUUUGCACUACAUUAACAGCCAUUUUUUGGACUGUCAUCUCUGCACAUCGCACAUAUUCUUUAUACUGUGAAUAUUGAGACAUUUCCUGGCCCCUUAGCUUUUUAUUUAAAAAUCAUAUUACAUAUUUUUCAUGUUUUUUUUAAAUUGUAAAUUUAUUUAUUUCACAGUAUGUUUUUUUUACUGGGACCAUUUAGUGUUGCCUCAAUAUUCCAAACAAAAUUCCUGGUUUUUGAAAACCAAACUGACAAGAAAUCAGAUUGUUAUUCAUUUACCUACGGGGUUGCAAUGUUUAAUUGUUUUGUAUAAAACACAUUCGAUACUGUUCUUUCUAAUACAACUUCAUGUCCCUACAGCACCCUCAUGUGGCCGGUCUGUUUUCACUAAUGUGAUCCUGCUGUUAUCGACUCAUUAUCAGAUUAUCUACCAUCUUUUUUCACAAUCAGAAAAAAAUAUUUAUCUUUAAAUAUAUAGAUGUAACUUUUUUGGAUUCGUUUUUUUUUUUUAAUUUAGAUUAAUGUUUUUCUUUAUUUCAUUUUAGAUUAAUUAUAUGCACAGAAAUUCUUUAGGAGAGAUCACUUAAACAGCGUCAACGGCAAAAUAUUUAUCUGCGUGCCAGAACCAAAGGGAAAACCUGUGAGACCACUUGUUUGUUUAACUUUGUUCUAAUGUUUUCUGUAUGUGUGCAUAUGUCUACAGGGCUGAAAUCAACAAUACUGAUCUCUUAAUCAAAAAGUUUCAGCAAUUGCAUAACCUUAAAACUGAUACCAAUAAACCUUAAGUGAUUAGGUUUAUUCCUGCUUCACAGCCCCCUUAGCGAGGAUGCACAUCUAUAAAAGACAAUUAGUGUUAAAGGCACUCAACUACUGCUGUAGCUUUGAGUAACCAACAGUGAUAAAACACUAUGGAUAUAAUUUUGCGGUUUAUAUGGAGACAUUCAUUAUUUCUAUGUACACCUGAUUGAUUCUCACUUGACUGUCUUGUUGACUUAAGGUGAAAAAAAAUUACAAAGCUUACGUGUGUAUAUUUUACAAACAUUAUUCAUAAACCUCCUCACAUGUGCUA
Micropterus salmoides (largemouth bass) is the source of this 1613-nucleotide long non-coding RNA. RefSeq lists it as uncharacterized. The transcript has 4 exons. The record is from RefSeq and is a predicted model, not a curated record. Lineage: Eukaryota; Metazoa; Chordata; Actinopteri; Centrarchiformes; Centrarchidae.